This is a microRNA precursor of Drosophila melanogaster (fruit fly), 70 nucleotides long. It matches the Rfam family "mir-iab-4 microRNA precursor family". Lineage: Eukaryota; Metazoa; Arthropoda; Insecta; Diptera; Drosophilidae. The record is from Rfam.
CUCGUGUUACGUAUACUGAAGGUAUACCGGAUAGGAUACACUCAGGAUACAUUCAGUAUACGUUUACGAG